This is a long non-coding RNA of Drosophila biarmipes, 297 nucleotides long. RefSeq lists it as uncharacterized. The record is from RefSeq and is a predicted model, not a curated record. Lineage: Eukaryota; Metazoa; Arthropoda; Insecta; Diptera; Drosophilidae. The transcript is spliced from 2 exons.
UUGAUCUAUAAAAAGCAGAGACCAAAAGCAGAAGAAUACCUUGAGGUUCAAUCAUUAUGAGCUUGACAACCGUUUUUAAUAUUUGUGCGAUCGCUUUAAUUGCGCUAGGUGGACAACCACAAUGCCCCAUGUGCAAAGUGACUAUUUCUAGUACAUAGAGGAGGGCUUAACUAUAUUGGAAUACUUUUUAGGCUCCAUUUCAAAAUAGCUUAUCUGUUCCCGAGCAUAACUUAGGUUUAAAUUGAUCAACAUGUCAUAUAAGACCUUUUAAACAAUAUAAAACAUAAAGUAUUCCAA